This 406-nucleotide ribosomal RNA is filed under the name uncultured Legionella sp. Its description in RNAcentral is "bacterial SSU rRNA". It matches the Rfam family "Bacterial small subunit ribosomal RNA", at positions 466 to 870 of the family's 1533-position model. Lineage: Bacteria; Pseudomonadati; Pseudomonadota; Gammaproteobacteria; Legionellales; Legionellaceae. The record is from RNAcentral.
UGAUGGACGUUACCCACAGAAGAAGCACCGGCUAACUCCGUGCCAGCAGCCGCGGUAAUACGGAGGGUGCGAGCGUUAAUCGGAAUUACUGGGCGUAAAGAGUGCGUAGGUGGUUAAGUAAGUUAUCUGUGAAAUCCCUGGGCUCAACCUGGGCAGGUCAGAUAAGACUGUUUAACUCGAGUAUGGGAGAGGGUAGUGGAAUUUCCGGUGUAGCGGUGAAAUGCGUAGAGAUCGGAAGGAACACCAGUGGCGAAGGCGGCUACCUGGCCCAAUACUGACACUGAGGCACGAAAGCGUGGGGAGCAAACAGGAUUAGAUACCCUGGUAGUCCACGCCGUAAACGAUGUCAACUAGCCGUUGGUUAUAUGAAUAUAAUAAGUGGCGCAGCAAACGCGAUAAGUUGACA